RNAcentral lists this long non-coding RNA (882 nucleotides) under Ananas comosus (pineapple). RNAcentral describes it as "long non-coding RNA (ACOM_LNC036027)". Lineage: Eukaryota; Viridiplantae; Streptophyta; Magnoliopsida; Poales; Bromeliaceae. The record is from RNAcentral.
GUUUCUUUUUCUCCCCUUUUUUUUUUAAAUUUCAAACUCCCCCUAAAUUAGACAAUCUCACAAUUGAAAAUAAUUUUGACGAAUUUUAGUCAAUUAAGAAUAUCCAUUCAUCAUAUCCAACACUUACAACCAAGAUGAGUUAAUCAUCAAAAAAUCAAAUUUGAUUUCAAAAUUUUGAUGAAUUUAUGCAAUAAGAAAUCAUAUAAUAAAUUAUCGUCAAAAUAAUAAAUAGUGGAGUAAAGACGGUAAUUAAUAUGAAUUUAAUUUAAUAUGAUUGUGAAGAUAAAACCCGUUUAAACAAUCUCUAAAAAACUUUCUCUUCUCAAAAAAAUGAUUCUCAAUCAUCUCCUUUCUCAAAAAUUUGAAUCCCCAAAUACCUUUCCUCAACAUGAUUUUUAAUCAAACAAAAUUCAAAACACCAAAAAUCAUGUAAACAUGUAAUGCAUUGAAUAAAAAUAUGCAAUAAGCACCUAUCAAAGCACUACACGAGAAAUCAGAAAUAACUAAGACGAGAAGCAAGGAAAGAUAUCACCUUUCCGGAUCCAAACUUGUCGGAUCUUUGGUUUUCUCGGCUUGUCAACGUUUGGUGCCGUUUGCUUAGUUUUGAGAUCGACAGUUGGUGGUUUCUUCGGUUGAGACAUUGAAAGAACUUGGCGUUGAAGUUUAGAAUACCGGUUUGCUUUAAGAUUCGGUUGGAUUUGGCGUUGCACAUUAGAAUACCGAUUCUUUUGAGGUACUCGACUAAUUUGAUUUUCCUUUUGAUUCCGCGGGGGAUGUCGAAUUGUAGACGAUGUCGAUUGAGGUUUUAAGAGUGUCGAUCGAUGUGUAGACAAUGCCAAUUGUUUCUUCUUUUCCUUAUUUGGACAAUUCCUUUUAAUAUGU